GAUGAACGCUGGCGGCGUGCCUAAUACAUGCAAGUCGAGCGAACGGACGAGAAGCUUGCUUCUCUGACGUUAGCGGCGGACGGGUGAGUAACACGUGGAUAACCUACCUAUAAGACUGGGAUAACUUCGGGAAACCGUAGCUAAUACCGGAUAAUAUUUUGAACCGCAUGGUUCAAAAGUGAAAGACGGUCUUGCUGUCACUUAUAGAUGGAUCCGCGCUGCAUUAGCUAGUUGGUAAGGUAACGGCUUACCAAGGCAACGAUGCAUAGCCGACCUGAGAGGGGGAUCGGCCACACUGGAACUGAGACACGGUCCAGACUCCUACGGGAGGCAGCAGUAGGGAAUCUUCCGCAAUGGGCGAAAGCCUGACGGAGCAACGCCGCGUGAGUGAUGAAGGUCUUCGGAUCGUAAAACUCUGUUAUUAGGGAAGAACAUAUGUGUAAGUAACUGUGCACAUCUUGACGGUACCUAAUCAGAAAGCCACGGCUAACUACGUG
RNAcentral lists this ribosomal RNA (497 nucleotides) under uncultured bacterium. RNAcentral's name for it is "partial 16S ribosomal RNA". It matches the Rfam family "Bacterial small subunit ribosomal RNA", at positions 28 to 507 of the family's 1533-position model. The record is from RNAcentral.